CAACUCGACUGCAUGAAGCUGGAAUCGCUAGUAAUCGCGAAUCAGCAUGUCGCGGUGAAUACGUUCCCGGGUCUUGUACACACCGCCCGUCACACCAUGGGAGUCGGAAAUGCCCGAAGUCAGUGACCCAACCUAUUGGAGGGAGCUGCCGAAGGCAGGUCUGAUAACUGGGGUGAAGUCGUAACAAGGUAUC
RNAcentral lists this ribosomal RNA (193 nucleotides) under uncultured bacterium. RNAcentral's name for it is "partial 16S ribosomal RNA". It matches the Rfam family "Bacterial small subunit ribosomal RNA", at positions 1308 to 1500 of the family's 1533-position model. The record is from RNAcentral.